Molecule: long non-coding RNA, 270 nt
Organism: Carassius carassius (crucian carp)
Lineage: Eukaryota; Metazoa; Chordata; Actinopteri; Cypriniformes; Cyprinidae
Exons: 3
Source: RefSeq, a predicted model, not a curated record
CAUUCAAUGUUACAGGAAGCUGUAAGGCGCCUUCACAAUUCGGAAAACAACCCACAUAAAUAUGAUCCACAAACUGGAAUAAGUUCGCCUCGUAACCAAGCAGUCAUGACUUAUCUGCUAGAGGAAUUGAAAACAACUUUUGCAGAUGCAGACCCUGAGUCUAUACAAGUGUGUUGCAAGACAUACUUUGAAACACUUCGGAGAAAGUACAAUUUGUCUCAGCCAGAAAAGUCCCAGCUAAGAGAUGCCAUUAAAACAGGAGCUAAAACC